GAGAUGUUAGUAAAAUAUUACAAGGCCUUGUCAUGGCCUAAUUGUUAGCUAAACCUAAUACACCUUGC
RNAcentral lists this transfer RNA (68 nucleotides) under Bolitoglossa oaxacensis. RNAcentral describes it as "tRNA-Asp". Lineage: Eukaryota; Metazoa; Chordata; Amphibia; Caudata; Plethodontidae. The record is from RNAcentral.